GUGCCAGCAGCCGCGGUAAUACGGAGGAUGCAAGCGUUAUCCGGAAUGAUUGGGCGUAAAGCGUCCGCAGGUGGCGAUGUAAGUCUGCUGUUAAAGAGUGAGGCUCAACCUCAUAAGAGCAGUGGAAACUACAUAGCUAGAGUACGGUCGGGGCAGAGGGAAUUCCUGGUGUAGCGGUGAAAUGCGUAGAGAUCAGGAAGAACACCAGUGGCGAAGGCACUCUGCUAGGCCGUAACUGACACUGAGGGACAAAAGCUAGGGGAGCGAAUGGGAUUAGAUACCCCAGUAGUCCUAGCCGUAAACGAUGGAUACUAGGCGUGGCUUGUAUCGACCCGAGCCGUGCCGUAGCUAACGCGUUAAGUAUCCCGCCUGGGGAGUACGCCGGCAACGGUGAAACUCAAAGGAAUCGACGGGGGCCCGCACAAGCGGUGGAGUAUGUGGUUUAAUUCGAUGCAACGCGAAGAACCUUACCAAGGCUUGACAUGUCGCGAAUCUUCUUGAAAGGGAAGAGUGCCUUCGGUAGCGCGAACACAGGUGGUGCAUGGCUGUCGUCAGCUCGUGUCGUGAGAUGUUGGGUUAAGUCCCGCAACGAGCGCAACCCUCGUUUUUAGUUGCCAGCAUUAAGUUGGGCACUCUAGAGAGACUGCCGGUGACAAACCGGAGGAAGGUGGGGAUGACGUCAAGUCAGCAUGCCCCUUACGCCUUGGGCUACACACGUACUACAAUGCUUCGGACAGAGGGCAGCAAGCAUGCGAAUGCAAGCAAAUCCCGUAAACCGGAGCUCAGUUCAGAUCGCAGGCUGCAACUCGCCUGCGUGAAGGAGGAAUCGCUAGUAAUUGCAGGUCAGCAUACUGCAGUGAAUUCGUUCCCGGGCCUUGUACACACCGCCCGUCACACCAUGGAAGCUGGUGGUGCCCGAAGUCAUUACUCCAACCUUUCGGGGGGGAGGAUGCCUAAGGCAGGACUGGUGACUGGGGUGAAGUCGUAACAAGGUAACC
Molecule: ribosomal RNA, 998 nt
Filed under: uncultured bacterium
Lineage: Bacteria
Description: bacterial SSU rRNA
Rfam family: Bacterial small subunit ribosomal RNA
Source: RNAcentral